AAGGGCACCACAAGAACGCGUGGAGCAUGUGGCUUAAUUUGACUCAACGCGGGAAAUCUUACCGGGUCCGGACACACUUAGGAUUGACAGGCGCUUAAGAAAUCAUGUUGUUAUUUUUUAACAGCUAAUUUCUUUUCAAAUAUGCUAGUCCUUUCAUGAUUGUGUGAUAGGUGGUGCAUGGCCGUUCUUAGUUCGUGGAGUGAUCUGUCUGCUUAAUUGCGUUUAACACGGGAUCUCAAUUUAUUAAUCUUCCAUUAUGGCGUAAUUUAAUUUGGUUAUAAUAACUAUAUACGGAUAUUAACAAAUAGACAUACAUACAAUAUAAAUUUAUUUAUAUUAUUGUCUAUUUUUCCUAUAUUUUUUUAACCUAAGCCAUAGGAAGGGUCCCAAAAGCAACGAACGUGACCG
RNAcentral lists this ribosomal RNA (408 nucleotides) under uncultured soil foraminiferan. Its description in RNAcentral is "SSU rRNA". It matches the Rfam family "Eukaryotic small subunit ribosomal RNA", at positions 1160 to 1432 of the family's 1831-position model. Lineage: Eukaryota; Foraminifera. The record is from RNAcentral.